Non-coding RNA from Danio rerio (zebrafish), 71 nucleotides. Lineage: Eukaryota; Metazoa; Chordata; Actinopteri; Cypriniformes; Danionidae. The record is from Rfam.
GCAUUGGUGGUUCAGUGGUAGAAUUCUUGCGUCCCACGCAGGGGACCUGGGUCUGAUUCCCGGCCAACGCA